CUGCUCAGAUGAACGCUGGCGGCAGGCCUAACACAUGCAAGUCGAGCGGUAGAGAGAAGCUUGCUUCUCUUGAGAGCGGCGGACGGGUGAGUAAUGCCUAGGAAUCUGCCUGGUAGUGGGGGAUAACGUUCGGAAACGGACGCUAAUACCGCAUACGUCCUACGGGAGAAAGCAGGGGACCUUCGGGCCUUGCGCUAUCAGAUGAGCCUAGGUCGGAUUAGCUAGUUGGUGAGGUAAUGGCUCACCAAGGCGACGAUCCGUAACUGGUCUGAGAGGAUGAUCAGUCACACUGGAACUGAGACACGGUCCAGACUCCUACGGGAGGCAGCAGUGGGGAAUAUUGGACAAUGGGCGAAAGCCUGAUCCAGCCAUGCCGCGUGUGUGAAGAAGGUCUUCGGAUUGUAAAGCACUUUAAGUUGGGAGGAAGGGUUGUAGAUUAAUACUCUGCAAUUUUGACGUUACCGACAGAAUAAGCACCGGCUAACUCUGUGCCAGCAGCCGCGGUAAUACAGAGGGUGCAAGCGUUAAUCGGAAUUACUGGGCGUAAAGCGCGCGUAGGUGGUUUGUUAAGUUGGAUGUGAAAUCCCCGGGCUCAACCUGGGAACUGCAUUCAAAACUGACUGACUAGAGUAUGGUAGAGGGUGGUGGAAUUUCCUGUGUAGCGGUGAAAUGCGUAGAUAUAGGAAGGAACACCAGUGGCGAAGGCGACCACCUGGACUAAUACUGACACUGAGGUGCGAAAGCGUGGGGAGCAAACAGGAUUAGAUACCCUGGUAGUCCACGCCGUAAACGGAUGUCAAACUAGCCGUUGGAAGCCUUGAGCUUUUAGUGGCGCAAGCGAAACGCAUUGAAGUUGACCGUC
RNAcentral lists this ribosomal RNA (862 nucleotides) under Pseudomonas azotoformans. RNAcentral's name for it is "bacterial SSU rRNA". It matches the Rfam family "Bacterial small subunit ribosomal RNA", at positions 20 to 873 of the family's 1533-position model. The record is from RNAcentral. Lineage: Bacteria; Pseudomonadati; Pseudomonadota; Gammaproteobacteria; Pseudomonadales; Pseudomonadaceae.